This 72-nucleotide transfer RNA is filed under the name Oryx gazella (gemsbok). RNAcentral describes it as "tRNA-Gln". It matches the Rfam family "tRNA". From Rfam's summary of the family: Transfer RNA (tRNA) molecules are approximately 80 nucleotides in length. The record is from RNAcentral. Lineage: Eukaryota; Metazoa; Chordata; Mammalia; Artiodactyla; Bovidae.
UAGAAUUUGGCGUAACUGGGAGCACGAAGAGUUUUGGGUUCUUAGGAGUAGGUUCAAUUCCUAUAGUUCUCG